This 21-nucleotide small RNA is filed under the name Arabidopsis thaliana (thale cress). RNAcentral's name for it is "Ath_wt_03802". The record is from RNAcentral. Lineage: Eukaryota; Viridiplantae; Streptophyta; Magnoliopsida; Brassicales; Brassicaceae.
UGAAUUAUAAUUACCACCGAG